RNAcentral lists this long non-coding RNA (1124 nucleotides) under Sus scrofa (pig). RNAcentral describes it as "lncRNA (ENSSSCG00060010379.1)". The record is from RNAcentral. Lineage: Eukaryota; Metazoa; Chordata; Mammalia; Artiodactyla; Suidae.
AUUUCUGAUACAGUAAAUAUCGAUAGACACAAUGUCAGUAGACAAAGUCCACACAUUUAAACAAGAGCUCUUUGGGUCCGUAAUAAUUUUUCAGAGUGUAAAGGGGUUCUGAGACCAAAAAGCUUCAGCACUGAUGCAAUAGUAUAGGAUAGCAGUUCCAGUGGCGGCAGAGGAAGGGAGGAGAGGACCUACGGAGACUGCUGGAUUUUCAGUCUCCCCACUCAGCCACCGCACAUCUUUAGCCCAGCAAUCAAGGCUUGGGAACAAGAGCUAUAAACUAUAUUCCAGGCGUUCCCAUCAUGGCACAGUGGAAACGAAUCCAACGAGGAACCAUAAGGUUGCAGGUUUGAUCCCUGGUCUUGCUCAGUUGGUUAAGGAUCCAGUGUUGCCGUGAGCUGUGGUGUAGGUUGCAGACGUGGCUCGGAUCUGGCAUUGCUGUGGCUCUGGCAUAGGCCGGCGGCUACAGCUCCGAUUAGAUCCCUAGCCUGGGAACCUCCAUAUGCCACGGGUGCAGCCGUAAAAGGACAAAAGACAAAAAUUUUUUUAAUUUUAAAAAUUUAAAAAUAAAUAAACUAUGAGACUUGGGUGUUGCACUGCGUAAAGAGAAGACCAGGAAAGGGCAUCACAUGAGAGUAAGGCACCUUCACAGCCAUGAAGGAAGGUAUUUAGAAACACCAAAGCUGGUUGGUAAAGUCAAGCUGCCAGGGCCACAGCUGGUCCACUUGGGCUCAAGAGCAUGGCGAGGGAGGAGCCAGGGAUAUUCUCUAAAGCAGCAAAACUCGAAUUCCCUUCCUCCUGCUCUGGCCCAUUUCUUAAAAGUGACCUAAACCCUUCAGUGGCCUUUAAGAACCAACAGUUCUUCUAGGCCACAGUCCCACAUGGUUGAUUAGAAUAGGUCAACAUGAAAAGAAACCAGGCUUAAAGAGAAAAAAAAAUGAUGUAUGGAGUUCCCAUUGUGGCAGAGCAGAAACGAAUCCGACUAGGAACCACGAUCCCUGGCCUCACUCAGUAGGUUAAGGAUCCAGCGUUGCCGUGUGAGCUGUGGUGUAGGUCGCAGACAUGGCUCGGAUUUGGCAUUGCUGUGGCUGUGCUGUAGGCCAGUAGCUACAUCUCUGAUUAGACCC